RNAcentral lists this ribosomal RNA (458 nucleotides) under uncultured Gammaproteobacteria bacterium. RNAcentral's name for it is "bacterial SSU rRNA". It matches the Rfam family "Bacterial small subunit ribosomal RNA", at positions 1069 to 1532 of the family's 1533-position model. The record is from RNAcentral. Lineage: Bacteria; Pseudomonadati; Pseudomonadota; Gammaproteobacteria.
GAGAUGUGGGUAGUCCGUACGAGCGCAACCUUGUCCUUAGUUGCCAGCACGUAAUGGUGGGAACUCUAAGGAGACUGCCGGUGACAAACCGGAGGAAGGUGGGGACGACGUCAAGUCAUCAUGGCCCUUACGACCUGGGCUACACACGUGCUACAAUGGCCAGCACAGAGGGCUGCAAUCCCGCGAGGGGGAGCUAAUCCCAGAAAACUGGUCGUAGUCCGGAUCGCAGUCUGCAACUCGACUGCGUGAAGUUGGAAUCGCUAGUAAUCGUGAAUCAGAAUGUCGCGGUGAAUACGUUCCCGGGCCUUGUACACACCGCCCGUCACACCAUGGGAGUGGGUUGCAAAAGAAGUAGCUAGGCUAACCUUCGGGAGGCCGGUUACCACUUUGUGAUUCAUGACUGGGGUGAAGUCGUAACAAGGUAGCCCUAGGGGAACCUGGGGCUGGAUCACCUCCUU